CAUGCAAGUCGAACGAGAGAGAGGGAGCUUGCUUCCUUGAUCGAGUGGCGAACGGGUGAGUAACGCGUGAGGAACCUGCCUCAAAGAGGGGGACAACAGUUGGAAACGACUGCUAAUACCGCAUAAGCCCACGACCCGGCAUCGGGAAGAGGGAAAAGGAGCAAUCCGCUUUGAGAUGGCCUCGCGUCCGAUUAGCUAGUUGGUGAGGUAACGGCCCACCAAGGCGACGAUCGGUAGCCGGACUGAGAGGUUGAACGGCCACAUUGGGACUGAGACACGGCCCAGACUCCUACGGGAGGCAGCAGUGGGGAAUAUUGCACAAUGGGGGAAACCCUGAUGCAGCGACGCCGCGUGGAGGAAGAAGGUCUUCGGAUUGUAAACUCCUGUUGUUGAGGAAGAUAAUGACGGUACUCAACAAGGAAGUGACGGCUAACUACGUGCCAGCAGCCGCGGUAAAACGUAGGUCACAAGCGUUGUCCGGAAUUACUGGGUGUAAAGGGAGCGCAGGCGGGCGAUCAAGUUGGAAGUGAAAUCCAUGGGCUCAACCCAUGAACUGCUUUCAAAACUGGUCGUCUUGAGUAGUGCAGAGGUAGGCGGAAUUCCCGGUGUAGCGGUGGAAUGCGUAGAUAUCGGGAGGAACACCAGUGGCGAAGGCGGCCUACUGGGCACCAACUGACGCUGAGGCUCGAAAGUGUGGGUAGCAAACAGGAUUAGAUACCCUGGUAGUCCACACCGUAAACGAUGAUUACUAGGUGUUGGGAGA
RNAcentral lists this ribosomal RNA (763 nucleotides) under uncultured bacterium. Its description in RNAcentral is "bacterial SSU rRNA". It matches the Rfam family "Bacterial small subunit ribosomal RNA", at positions 54 to 830 of the family's 1533-position model. The record is from RNAcentral.